RNAcentral lists this ribosomal RNA (321 nucleotides) under Imbricatea sp. RNAcentral's name for it is "SSU rRNA". The stretch from base 105 to 321 matches the Rfam family "Eukaryotic small subunit ribosomal RNA", at positions 736 to 955 of the family's 1831-position model. The record is from RNAcentral. Lineage: Eukaryota; Cercozoa; Imbricatea.
GAUUUCUGGUACGACGUGUCUGGCCCGCCAGGGUUACCUGCGUGAGUGCCGGCGCGCGUCUGCCAUCCAUCUAGAAAACGGCCUUACCCUUCACUGGGCCGGGGUCGCGAUCUAGAUAUUUUACUUUGAAAAAAUUAGAGUGUUUAAAGCAGGCUUCGCUAUGAAUACAUUAGCAUGGAAUAAUAAUUUAGGACUUCGGUUCUAUUUUGUUGGUUUCUAGGACUGAAGUAAUGAUUGAUAGGGAUAGUUGGGGGUGCUAGUAUUCAGCGGCCAGAGGUGAAAUUCUCGGAUUCGCUGAAGACUAACUUAUGCGAAAGCAUU